Molecule: antisense RNA, 72 nt
Filed under: Streptomyces oceani
Lineage: Bacteria; Bacillati; Actinomycetota; Actinomycetes; Kitasatosporales; Streptomycetaceae
Description: Streptomyces sp. SCSIO 02100 ASpks TB sRNA
Rfam family: ASpks TB sRNA
Source: Rfam by way of RNAcentral
CUUCACCGAGCCCAGCCACAAGGGCUCCUGGCCGCGGCCCUGCCCGUAGGUGGCGAGCAGCGCCUGCGCCUC